AAUAGAUACCCUGGUAGUCCACGCCGUAAACGAUGAGUGCUAAGUGUUAGAGGGUUUCCGCCCUUUAGUGCUGCAGCUAACGCAUUAAGCACUCCGCCUGGGGAGUACGGCCGCAAGGCUGAAACUCAAAGGAAUUGACGGGGGCCCGCACAAGCGGUGGAGCAUGUGGUUUAAUUCGAAGCAACGCGAAGAACCUUACCAGGUCUUGACAUCCUCUGCCAACCCUAGAGAUAGGGCGUUCCCCUUCGGGGGACAGAGUGACAGGUGGUGCAUGGUUGUCGUCAGCUCGUGUCGUGAGAUGUUGGGUUAAGUCCCGCAACGAGCGCAACCCUUGAUCUUAGUUGCCAGCAUUCAGUUGGGCACUCUAAGGUGACUGCCGGUGACAAACCGGAGGAAGGUGGGGAUGACGUCAAAUCAUCAUGCCCCUUAUGACCUGGGCUACACACGUGCUACAAUGGAUGGUACAAAGAGCUGCGAACCCGGCGAGGGUAAGCCAAUCUCAUAAAGCCAUUCUCAGUUCGGAUUGU
RNAcentral lists this ribosomal RNA (527 nucleotides) under uncultured bacterium. RNAcentral describes it as "bacterial SSU rRNA". It matches the Rfam family "Bacterial small subunit ribosomal RNA", at positions 777 to 1301 of the family's 1533-position model. The record is from RNAcentral.